This 496-nucleotide ribosomal RNA is filed under the name uncultured bacterium. Its description in RNAcentral is "partial 16S ribosomal RNA". It matches the Rfam family "Bacterial small subunit ribosomal RNA", at positions 30 to 523 of the family's 1533-position model. The record is from RNAcentral.
AUUGAACGCUGGCGGAAUGCUUUACACAUGCAAGUCGAACGGUAGAGGGGGCAACCCCUCGAGAGUGGCGAACGGGUGAGUAAUAUAUCGGAACGUGCCCAGUCGUGGGGGAUAACGUAGCGAAAGUUACGCUAAUACCGCAUACGAUCUAAGGAUGAAAGCGGGGGAUCGCAAGACCUCGCGCGAUUGGAGCGGCCGAUAUCAGAUUAGGUAGUUGGUGGGGUAAAGGCUCACCAAGCCAACGAUCUGUAGCUGGUCUGAGAGGACGGCCAGCCACCCUGGAAAUGAGGAACGGUCCAGACUCCUACGGGAGGCAGGAGUGGGGAAUUUUGGACAAUGGACGCAAGUCUGAUCCAGCCAUUCCGCGUGCAGGAUGAAGGCCCUCGGGUUGUAAACUGCUUUUGUACGAAACGAAAAGGUCUCUCUUAAUACGGGGGACUCAUGACGGUACCGUAAGAAUAAGCACCGGCUAACUACGUGCCAGCAGCCGCCGUAA